RNAcentral lists this ribosomal RNA (479 nucleotides) under uncultured bacterium. Its description in RNAcentral is "partial 16S ribosomal RNA". It matches the Rfam family "Bacterial small subunit ribosomal RNA", at positions 28 to 507 of the family's 1533-position model. The record is from RNAcentral.
GAUGAACGCUGGCGGCGUGCUUAACACAUGCAAGUCGAACGAAGCACUUAUCUUUGAUUCUUCGGAUGAAGAGGUUUGUGACUGAGUGGCGGACGGGUGAGUAACGCGUGGGUAACCUGCCUCAUACAGGGGGAUAACAGUUAGAAAUGACUGCUAAUACCGCAUAAGACCACGGAGCCGCAUGGCUCAGUGGGAAAAACUCCGGUGGUAUGAGAUGGACCCGCGUCUGAUUAGGUAGUUGGAGGGGUAACGGCCUACCAUGCCAACGAUCAGUAGCCGACCAGAGAGGGUGACCGGCCACAUUGGGGCUGGGACACGGCCCAAACUCCUACGGGAGGCAGCAGUGGGAAAUAUUGCAAAAUGGAGGAAACCCUGAUGCAGCGACGCCGCGUGAGCGAAGAAGUAUUUCGGUAUGUAAAGCUCUAUCAGCAGGGAAGAAAAUGACGGUACCUGACUAAGAAGCACCGGCUAAAUACGUG